This 1533-nucleotide ribosomal RNA is filed under the name Triticum aestivum (bread wheat). Its description in RNAcentral is "partial small subunit ribosomal RNA". The record is from RNAcentral. Lineage: Eukaryota; Viridiplantae; Streptophyta; Magnoliopsida; Poales; Poaceae.
AUGAAGGUUGAAGAAGCAUUGGAAGAUCCAGAUUGGAUAAACGCUAUGCAUGAAGAGCUACAUAAUUUUGAGAGAAACCAAGUUUGGACAUUGGUUGAGAAGCCCGACAACAACCACAACAUCAUUGGUACCAAAUGGGUGUUCCACAACAAGCAAGAUGAAGAUGGACAAGUGGUUCGCAACAAAUCACGUCUCGUCGCAAAAGGGUACACACAAGUCGAAGGUAUGGACUAUGGUGAGACGUAUGCCCCCGUUGCUAGACUUGAGUCCAUUCGUAUCUUACUUGCUUAUGCUAAUCACCAUAACAUCACCUUGUACCAAAUGGACAUUAAAAGUGCUUUUCUAAAUGGUGAAAUAGAGGAGGAAGUUUAUGUCAAACAACCUCCCGGCUUUAUCAAUCCUAAGAAACCAAAUCAUGUUUACAAACUUCACAAAGCUCUUUAUGGUCUUAAACAAGCUCCUAGAGCAUGGUAUAAAUGCUUAACCAAGUUCCUUACUACAAGUGGUUUUGAAAUUGGUAAAAUUGAUUCUACUCUUUUUACUAAAAGGGUUAAUGGAGAGCUAUUUAUAUGCCAAAUUUAUGUUGAUGAUAUCAUAUUUGGUUCAACUAACCCCCUCUUUAGUGAAAAGUUUGGAAAGCUAAUGUCAGAGAAGUUUGAGAUGUCUAUGAUGAGUGAACUCAAAUUCUUUCUCGAGUUGCAAAUCAAGCAAACUAAGGAAGGUACAUUUGUCUCUCAAACAAAGUACACCAAGGACUUAUUCAAGAAGUUCAAUAUGCAAGAAUGCAAAUGUAUGUCUACACCCAUGCCUACUAGUGGACAUAAUGAUUUAACCAAAGAUGGUGAACCGGUUGAUCAAAAGGUUUAUCGCUCUAUGAUUGGUUCAUUGUUAUACCUAUGUGCUUCAUGUCCCGAUAUUAUGCUAAGUGUGUGCAUGUGUGCACGAUAUCAAGCUACUCCUAAAGAUUGUCAUCUUAAGGCUGUGAAAAGGAUAGUGAGAUAUUUAAUCCAUACACCAAAUUUUGGCAUUUGGUAUCCUAAGAGGUCUUCUUUUGAUCUUGUUGGCUAUUCCGACUCGGAUUAUGCCGGAGACAAGGUUGAUAGAAAGUCCACUUCGGGUACUUGUCAAUUUCUUGGUAGAUCUCUUGUGUCUUGGUCUUCCAAGAAACAAAACUCGGUAUCCUUAUCCACCGCCGAAGCUGAAUACAUUGCCGCUGGUUCAUGUUGUGCUCAAUUACUUUGGAUGACCCAAACUCUUAAAGAUUAUGGGAUUUAUGUGAAACAUGUUCCACUGCUUUGUGACAAUGAAAGUGCUAUCAAAUUUGGUCAUAAUCCUGUACAACAUUCUCGGACUAAGCAUAUGGAAGUUCGUCAUCAUUUCAUUCGAGAUCAUGUUGCUAAGGGUGACAUCAAUCUUAAGCAUGUUCGCACCGAUAAGCAAUUAGCGGAUAUAUUCACUAAACCACUUGAUGAGAAAGUGUUUUGCAGGUUGAUAGGAGAAUUGAACAUCAUUGAUGCUUCGAACUUGGAGUAG